Molecule: ribosomal RNA, 253 nt
Filed under: uncultured bacterium
Lineage: Bacteria
Description: partial 16S ribosomal RNA
Rfam family: Bacterial small subunit ribosomal RNA
Source: RNAcentral
UACAGAGGUCCCAAGCGUUGUUCGGAUGCACUGGGCGGAAAGGGUGCGUAGGCGGUCGGGUAAGUCUGAUGUGAAAUCUCCAAGCUCAACUUGGAAAUGGCAUCGGAUACUAUUCGGCUCGAGGAAUGGAGGGGAGACUGGAAUACUUGGUGUAGCAGUGAAAUGCGUAGAUAUCAAGUGGAACACCAGUGGCGAAGGCGAGUCUCUGGACAUUUCCUGACGCUGAGGCACGAAAGCCAGGGGAGCAGACGGG